This 361-nucleotide ribosomal RNA is filed under the name Staphylococcus epidermidis. RNAcentral describes it as "bacterial SSU rRNA". It matches the Rfam family "Bacterial small subunit ribosomal RNA", at positions 1 to 350 of the family's 1533-position model. Lineage: Bacteria; Bacillati; Bacillota; Bacilli; Caryophanales; Staphylococcaceae. The record is from RNAcentral.
UUUUAUGGAGAGUUUGAUCCUGGCUCAGGAUGAACGCUGGCGGCGUGCCUAAUACAUGCAAGUCGAGCGAACAGACGAGGAGCUUGCUCCUCUGACGUUAGCGGCGGACGGGUGAGUAACACGUGGAUAACCUACCUAUAAGACUGGGAUAACUUCGGGAAACCGGAGCUAAUACCGGAUAAUAUAUUGAACCGCAUGGUUCAAUAGUGAAAGACGGUUUUGCUGUCACUUAUAGAUGGAUCCGCGCCGCAUUAGCUAGUUGGUAAGGUAACGGCUUACCAAGGCAACGAUGCGUAGCCGACCUGAGAGGGUGAUCGGCCACACUGGAACUGAGACACGGUCCAGACUCCUACGGGAGGCA